RNAcentral lists this ribosomal RNA (484 nucleotides) under uncultured bacterium. Its description in RNAcentral is "partial 16S ribosomal RNA". It matches the Rfam family "Bacterial small subunit ribosomal RNA", at positions 30 to 507 of the family's 1533-position model. The record is from RNAcentral.
AUUGAACGCUGGCGGCAGGCCUAACACAUGCAAGUCGAGCGGAUGAAGGGAGCUUGCUCCUGGAUUCAGCGGCGGACGGGUGAGUAAUGCCUAGGAAUCUGCCUGGUAGUGGGGGAUAACGUCCGGAAACGGGCGCUAAUACCGCAUACGUCCUGAGGGAGAAAGUGGGGGAUCUUCGGACCUCACGCUAUCAGAUGAGCCUAGGUCGGAUUAGCUAGUUGGUGGGGUAAAGGCCUACCAAGGCGACGAUCCGUAACUAGUCUGAGAGGAUGAUCAGUCACACUGGAACUGAGACACGGUCCAGACUCCUACGGGAGGCAGCAGUGGGGAAUAUUGGACAAUGGGCGAAAGCCUGAUCCAGCCAUGCCGCGUGUGUGAAGAAGGUCUUCGGAUUGUAAAGCACUUUAAGUUGGGGGGAAGGGCAGUAAGUUAAUACCUUGCUGUUUUGACGUUACCAACAGAAUAAGCACCGGCUAACUUCGUG